This 328-nucleotide ribosomal RNA is filed under the name uncultured soil bacterium. RNAcentral's name for it is "bacterial SSU rRNA". It matches the Rfam family "Bacterial small subunit ribosomal RNA", at positions 26 to 381 of the family's 1533-position model. The record is from RNAcentral.
AGAACGAACGCUGGCGGCAUGCCUAAUACAUGCAAGUCGAACGAACUCUUCGGAGUUAGUGGCGCACGGGUGCGUAACGCGUGGGAAUCUGCCCCUUGGUUCGGAAUAACAGUUGGAAACGACUGCUAAUACCGGAUGAUGACGAAAGUCCAAAGAUUUAUCGCCAAGGGAUGAGCCCGCGUAGGAUUAGCUAGUUGGUGAGGUAAAGGCUCACCAAGGCAACGAUCCUUAGCUGGUCUGAGAGGAUGAUCAGCCACACUGGGACUGAGACACGGCCCAGACUCCUACGGGAGGCAGCAGUAGGGAAUAGUUGGGCAAUGGGCGAAAG